AGGCAACGAUGCAUAGCUGGUCUGAGAGGAUGAUCAGCCACACUGGAACUGAGACACGGUCCAGACUCCUACGGGAGGCAGCAGUGGGGAAUAUUGCGCAAUGGGGGAAACCCUGACGCAGCAAUGCCGCGUGAGUGAGGAAGGCCUUCGGGUUGUAAAGCUCUGUCAGAAGGGAAGAACGGCACAUUUUCUAAUAGGGAUUGUGUUUGACGGUACCUUCAAAGGAAGCACCGGCUAACUUCGUGCCAGCAGCCGCGGUAAUACGAAGGGUGCAAGCGUUGUUCGGAUUUACUGGGCGUAAAGCGCGCGCAGGCGGAUUGAUAAGUCAGAUGUGA
This 335-nucleotide ribosomal RNA is filed under the name uncultured Halobacteriovorax sp. RNAcentral's name for it is "bacterial SSU rRNA". It matches the Rfam family "Bacterial small subunit ribosomal RNA", at positions 271 to 597 of the family's 1533-position model. Lineage: Bacteria; Pseudomonadati; Bdellovibrionota; Bacteriovoracia; Bacteriovoracales; Halobacteriovoraceae. The record is from RNAcentral.